This 617-nucleotide ribosomal RNA is filed under the name Pseudomonas aeruginosa. RNAcentral describes it as "partial 23S ribosomal RNA". It matches the Rfam family "Bacterial large subunit ribosomal RNA", at positions 2328 to 2925 of the family's 2925-position model. The record is from RNAcentral. Lineage: Bacteria; Pseudomonadati; Pseudomonadota; Gammaproteobacteria; Pseudomonadales; Pseudomonadaceae.
CGGUCGGAAAUCGGUCGCAGAGUAUAAAGGCAAAAGCGCGCUUGACUGCGAGACAGACACGUCGAGCAGGUACGAAAGUAGGUCUUAGUGAUCCGGUGGUUCUGUAUGGAAGGGCCAUCGCUCAACGGAUAAAAGGUACUCCGGGGAUAACAGGCUGAUACCGCCCAAGAGUUCAUAUCGACGGCGGUGUUUGGCACCUCGAUGUCGGCUCAUCACAUCCUGGGGCUGAAGCCGGUYCCAAGGGUAUGGCUGUUCGCCAUUUAAAGUGGUACGCGAGCUGGGUUUAGAACGUCGUGAGACAGUUCGGUCCCUAUCUGCCGUGGACGUUUGAGAUUUGAGAGGGGCUGCUCCUAGUACGAGAGGACCGGAGUGGACGAACCUCUGGUGUUCCGGUUGUCACGCCAGUGGCAUUGCCGGGUAGCUAUGUUCGGAAAAGAUAACCGCUGAAAGCAUCUAAGCGGGAAACUUGCCUCAAGAUGAGAUCUCACUGGGAACUUGAUUCCCCUGAAGGGCCGUCGAAGACUACGACGUUGAUAGGCUGGGUGUGUAAGCGUUGUGAGGCGUUGAGCUAACCAGUACUAAUUGCCCGUGAGGCUUGACCAUAUAACACCCAAACA